Molecule: transfer RNA, 74 nt
Filed under: Actinocatenispora thailandica
Lineage: Bacteria; Bacillati; Actinomycetota; Actinomycetes; Micromonosporales; Micromonosporaceae
Also listed under: 2 other names
Description: tRNA-Glu
Rfam family: tRNA
About the family: Transfer RNA (tRNA) molecules are approximately 80 nucleotides in length. Their secondary structure includes four short double-helical elements and three loops (D, anti-codon, and T loops).
Source: RNAcentral
GGCCCCGUCGUCUAGCGGCCUAGGACACUGCCCUCUCAAGGCAGCGGCGCCGGUUCGAAUCCGGUCGGGGCUAC